AGAGUUUGAUUCUGGCUCAGGAUGAACGCUGGCGGCGUGCCUAACACAUGCAAGUCGAGCGAUUCUCUUCGGAGAAGAGCGUCGGACGGGUGAGUAACGCGUGGGUAACCUGCCCUGUACACACGGAUAACAUACCGAAAGGUAUGCUAAUACGAGAUAAUAUACUUUUAUCGCAUGGUAGAAGUAUCAAAGCUCCGGCGGUACAGGAUGGACCCGCGUCUGAUUAGCUAGUUGGUAAGGUAACGGCUUACCAAGGCGACGAUCAGUAGCCGACCUGAGAGGGUGAUCGGCCACAUUGGAACUGAGACACGGUCCAAACUCCUACGGGAGACAGCAGUGGGGAAUAUUGCACAAUGGGCGAAAGCCUGAUGCAGCAACGCCGCGUGAGCGAUGAAGGCCUUCGGGUCGUAAAGCUCUGUCCUCAAGGAAGAUAAUGACGGUACUUGAGGAGGAAGCCCCGGCUAACUACGUGCCAGCAGCCGCGGUAAUACGUAGGGGGCUAGCGUUAUCCGGAAUUACUGGGCGUAAAGGGUGCGUAGGUGGUUUCUUAAGUCAGAGGUGAAAGGCUACGGCUCAACCGUAGUAAGCCUUUGAAACUGGGAAACUUGGGUGCAGGAGAGGAGAGUGGAAUUCCUAGUGUAGCGGUGAAAUGCGUAGAUAUUAGGAGGAACACCAGUGGCGAAGGCGGCCUACUGGGCACCAACUGACGCUGAGGCUCGAAAGCAUGGGUAGCAAACAGGAUUAGAUACCCUGGUAGUCCAUGCCGUAAACGAUGAUUACUAGGUGUUGGAGGAUUGACCCCUUCAGUGCCGCAGUUAACACAAUAAGUAAUCCACCUGGGGAGUACGACCGCAAGGUUGAAACUCAAAGGAAUUGACGGGGGCCCGUACAAGCAGUGGAGUAUGUGGUUUAAUUCGAAGCAACGCGAAGAACCUUACCAGGUCUUGACAUCCGAUGCAUAGUGCAGAGAUGCAUGAAGUCCUUCGGGACAUCGAGACAGGUGGUGCAUGGUUGUCGUCAGCUCGUGUCGUGAGAUGUUGGGUUAAGUCCCGCAACGAGCGCAACCCUUAUCGUCAGUUACUACGCAAGAGGACUCUGGCGAGACUGCCGUUGACAAAACGGAGGAAGGUGGGGAUGACGUCAAAUCAUCAUGCCCCUUAUGACCUGGGCUACACACGUACUACAAUGGCGUUAAACAAAGAGAAGCGAGACCGCGAGGUGGAGCAAAACUCAUAAACAACGUCCCAGUUCAGAUUGCAGGCUGCAACUCGCCUGCAUGAAGUCGGAGUUGCUAGUAAUCGCAGAUCAGCAUGCAGCGGUGAUUAAGGGCCCGGGCCUUGCACACACCGCCCGUCA
RNAcentral lists this ribosomal RNA (1356 nucleotides) under uncultured bacterium. Its description in RNAcentral is "partial 16S ribosomal RNA". It matches the Rfam family "Bacterial small subunit ribosomal RNA". The record is from RNAcentral.